AGUGAACGCUGGCGGUAGGCUUAACACAUGCAAGUCGAACGGCAGCACAGUAACAGCUUGCUCUUACGGGCGGCGAGUGGCGGACGGGUGAGGUAUACAUCGGACUAUACUUUUUCGUGGGGGAUAAAGUGGGGAAACUUACGCUAAUACCGCAUUCGACCUACGGGUGAAAGCAGGGGCUCUUCGGACUUUGCGCGAUUGAAUGAGCCGAUGUCGGAUUAGCUAGUUGGCGGGGUAACAGCCCACCAAGGCGCAGAUCCGUAGCUGGUCUGAGCGGGUGGAGCGGCACAGUGGGACUGAGACACGGUCCUGGCUCCUACGGGAGGCACAGGUGCGGAAGAGUGGACAAUGGGGGGAAUACUGCUCCAUGCGUACCGCGCGGGUGCAGAAGGGCCUCGUGUGGGAAAGCGCUUUUGUUGUUAAAGAAAGGCAGCAGGAUAAUACCCCGUUGUUCUGACGGUACCCAAAGAAGAAGCACCGGCUAACUUCGUG
This 492-nucleotide ribosomal RNA is filed under the name uncultured bacterium. Its description in RNAcentral is "partial 16S ribosomal RNA". It matches the Rfam family "Bacterial small subunit ribosomal RNA", at positions 29 to 507 of the family's 1533-position model. The record is from RNAcentral.